CGAGGUGUAGCUCAGUUGGUAGAGUGCUUGCUUUGGGAGCAAGACGUCGCACGUUCGAGUCGUGUCACCUCGACCA
Molecule: transfer RNA, 76 nt
Filed under: Bacteroidales bacterium
Lineage: Bacteria; Pseudomonadati; Bacteroidota; Bacteroidia; Bacteroidales
Also listed under: 1 other name
Description: tRNA-Pro
Rfam family: tRNA
About the family: Transfer RNA (tRNA) molecules are approximately 80 nucleotides in length. Their secondary structure includes four short double-helical elements and three loops (D, anti-codon, and T loops). Further hydrogen bonds mediate the characteristic L-shaped molecular structure. tRNAs have two regions of fundamental functional importance: the anti-codon, which is responsible for specific mRNA codon recognition, and the 3' end, to which the tRNAs corresponding amino acid is attached (by aminoacyl-tRNA synthetases). tRNAs cope with the degeneracy of the genetic code in two manners: having more than one tRNA (with a specific anti-codon) for a particular amino acid; and 'wobble' base-pairing, i.e. permitting non-standard base-pairing at the 3rd anti-codon position.
Source: RNAcentral